This 1297-nucleotide ribosomal RNA is filed under the name metagenome. RNAcentral describes it as "bacterial SSU rRNA". It matches the Rfam family "Bacterial small subunit ribosomal RNA", at positions 202 to 1495 of the family's 1533-position model. The record is from RNAcentral.
GAGCGAGCCUGUUACUUUAGGAAGGGACUGCGUUGGAUUAGCUAGUUGGUAAGGUAAUGGCUUACCAAGGCGACGAUCCAUAGCUGGUCUGAGAGGACGGACAGCCACAUUGGGACUGAGACACGGCCCAAACUCCUACGGGAGGCAGCAGUUGGGAAUAUUGGACAAUGGGGGAAACCCUGAUCCAGCGAUGCCGCGUGUGUGAAGAAGGCCUUCGGGUUGUAAAGCGCUUUUGGUAGUGAAGAGUAGGUAUAGACAAAUAAUCUAUGCUGAAGACUUAAGCUACGGAAAAAGCACCGGCAAACUCUGUGCCAGCAGCCGCGGCAAUACAGAGGGUGCAAGCGUUAAUCGGAAUGACUGGGCGUAAAGGGCAUGUAGGCGGUAAGAUAAGUGAGAUGUGAAAGACUGAGGCUCAACCUCAGGGUUGUCAUCUCAUACUAUCUAACUAGAGUGCAGUAGAGGAAAGUGGAAUUUCCGGUGUAGCGGUGGAAUGCGUAGAUAUCGGAAGGAACACCAGUGGCGAAGGCGGCUUUCUGGACUGUAACUGACGCUGAGGUGCGAAAGCGUGGGUAGCAAACAGGAUUAGAUACCCUGGUAGUCCACGCUGUAAACGAUGAGAACUAGCUGUUAGAACUGAAUAAGUUUUAGUAGCGAAGUGAACGCGAUAAGUUCUCCGCCUGGGGAGUACGACCGCAAGGUUAAAACUCAAAGGAAUUGACGGGGGCUCGCACAAGCGGUGGAGCAUGUGGUUUAAUUCGAUCAACGCGAAGAACCUUACCUACCCUUGUAUCCUAGGAAUCUACUAGAGAUAGUAGAGUGCCCGAGAGGGAACCUAGAGACAGGUGGUGCAUGGCUGUCGUCAGCUCGUGUCGUGAGAUGUUGGGUUAAGUCCCGAAACGAGCGCAACCCCUAUCCUUAGUUACCAUCGUGAAAGACGGGGACUCUAAGGAGACUGCUGGUGAUAAGCCGGAGGAAGGUGGGGAUGACGUCAAGUCAUCAUGUCCUUUAUGGGUAGGGCUACACACGUGCUACAAUGGGCAGUACAGAGGGAAGCAAAGCUGAGAAGUGGAGCGGAUCUCAGAAAGCUGUUCGUAGUCCGGAUUGAAGUCUGAAACUCGACUUCAUGAAGUAGGAAUCGCUAGUAAUCGCGGAUCAGAAUGCCGCGGUGAAUACGUUCUCGGGCCUUGUACACACCGCCCGUCAAACCAUGGAAGUGGGUUGUACCAGAAGUGGGUAGAAUAACCGAAAGGAGUUCGCUUACUACGGUAUGAUUCAUGACUGGGGUUAAGUCGGAAAG